RNAcentral lists this ribosomal RNA (450 nucleotides) under uncultured bacterium. Its description in RNAcentral is "partial 16S ribosomal RNA". It matches the Rfam family "Bacterial small subunit ribosomal RNA", at positions 354 to 796 of the family's 1533-position model. The record is from RNAcentral.
GUGGGGAAUAUUGGACAAUGGGCGAAAGCCUGAUCCAGCCAUGCCGCGUGUGUGAAGAAGGUCUUCGGAUUGUAAAGCACUUUAAGUUGGGAGGAAGGGCAGUAAGUUAAUACCUUGCUGUUUUGACGUUACCGACAGAAUAAGCACCGGCUAACUUCGUGCCAGCAGCCGCGGUAAUACGAAGGGUGCAAGCGUUAAUCGGAAUUACUGGGCGUAAAGCGCGCGUAGGUGGUUUUGUAAGUUGGAGGUGAAAUCCCCGGGGUCAACCUGGGAACUGCCUCCAAAACUGCAUGACUAGAGUACGGUAGAGGGUAGUGGAAUUUCCUGUGUAGCGGUGAAAUGCGUAGAUAUAGGAAGGAACACCAGUAGCGAAGGCGACUACCUGGACUGAUACUGACACUGAGGUGCGAAAGCGUGGGGAGCAAACAGGAUUAGAAACCCUUGUAGUCC